GGGAAAUGAUCGUCUGGAUAUAGUCCAUCAUGUUAGCUAUGCACUGCCUAGUGAUCUGCCAUCGAUGUCAUCUUUACUUUCAUUCUCCAAUACUAAAAACAUAAUGUUAGAUUUGGAAUAGCACGCAGAAAAUUAGUUUGUAAGGAUUGAAAGUAAAGAUGGGAUGGAUGGCAGAUUCACUAGGUGGUCCAUGGCUUAUGUGGUGGACCAGGUCCAAGCAAUAAUUUCUU
RNAcentral lists this microRNA precursor (230 nucleotides) under Vriesea carinata. RNAcentral's name for it is "miR10207 stem-loop (vca-MIR10207)". Lineage: Eukaryota; Viridiplantae; Streptophyta; Magnoliopsida; Poales; Bromeliaceae. The record is from miRBase by way of RNAcentral.